GUCUCUGGGCUGUCACUGUGUGUCCUGUCACUGGGGGAGCCCCUAGCUGCGCCGGCCUCGGGAGCCCACAGACAACCUCCUGGGAGACAGCAGGGAUGGUCACAAGCAAUGCGCUCAGGUCCCUUAACACCUAGGUGCGCACAGCACCGCGACAGGAAGUGGGCAAUCCACCUGGUCUUGGUGAAGACAAUGAUUUUGAAGGGACAGUCAGUACAUUUCCAAUCAUCAAGUCAUUUAAUGGACGAAGCUGGUCCCUUUCUUUUUGGACAGAAAGAAUAACAACAACAACAAAAACCCUAGGCAUCUAAUUUUUUUUUCUCAUUUUUUUGGAAAGCGGGGUGAGAGGAACUCCCAAGAAAACCCCUGGGGAGACAGCGAGUGGGGUGAGUGGAAAGGAGAUCGGAGGGCUGCAGAGGGCGGAGGUGAGAGGUGGACUCGGGGAGGCCGAGAGCGACACAGGCUGGGGACCGAGGGCGAGCGGCAGGCUCUCCUCCGCCCCAGCGGGACCGCGCGACGCCCGCCGCUGCUCCCGGGGACCGCGGUGGCUGGGCAGGGCCGCGGGCUGCGGCGGGCGCUGCCUUCCAACGUGCCCGGGGACGUCCCCGGUGCCAGCCGAUGAGGCGCGGAGGACGGCUUCCCGGAUAAUCGCCCCAACUUACCAGGCGCGGAGUCCGCGGCUGCAAAAGGACGGGCGGGCGCCGGGGCCAGCGAGGGCCCGGCCUCCAGGUGCCCGGAGCGCACAGCUACUGCCACUUGGAGCGGUGCCAGCCUCAUUUGAAUCCCAGCCUUUGUGAAUAACUCAAGUGUCGCCACCGUUGCUCCAGCAAUCGCAGGGCGUCUGGGCUCACACCACCCUGCCUCGCCCCGGGGAGCCCAACGGGGCUGCCUCCCUCCCCGCAGCCUCCAAGCCUCGAAGGGCGGUGGGGAGGCUGCCCUGGCUGAACCUUCUAGGCCUGUUCCCACCCCGCAGCCGCAGCAGGAGGCCGGUGGGACCCGGUCUGGCUUUCUGCCAAGUCUGUCGCCUUUCUACCUGGGAAUCUAUCUGGAGCCCUGGCUGUGUGCAGAGGCGUCUCUGGUGUGCCAGCGCAUCUUCUCUCUUCAUCAGGAGACAAUUAAAUAGGUUUGGUUUAAACGUCUGCUAGGUGUGUCCUCCCGCUGGGGGGCCUCUCUUCCUCACUCAGACCUUCUGUUAGACGUUUUGGGUAGAGUGCCUCCUGUGCUGCAGGUCCUGUGCUGGGCACGCAAAGAGCCCAGAGGGAGGGGGAGACGUUGCAGCAACGCAUACAACCAGCCUCUGCCUCGAGGUGCAACUUGUCUACUCGAGGAAGGGGUGCAAACAGAUGGGACAGAUGCAAAUUUCACCUUCACACACACUCUGGUAUGCAAAAACGGUAAGUCCUCCGUUUGUCCACACCCAAACUUCUGUCUCCGCCCCCAUUAUGCUCAAGAUAGGAAAAUCAAUCUAAUCAUCUCCAAAUAGAUUCAACUGGGUGAAUUUUUCUUUGCUUCAGAUUUACAAUAGGUCAAAUGAGUGGUUUGUCUCAAGUCACCCUCCUCCCUAGGAUUGACAGUCAGCUCUGAUGCUCAAACACCAGACAUUGUGCUCAUUGUGUGGAAUGCUUUCUUUAGGAGAGAGUGUGAUUUGCUGUUGCUUUACUAUUUGGGCCUUGUUGAAGCAGAGGAGGAUGAUAUUUAAGACCAACUGGGCAGCCGUGUUAAAUGCCCCUCAGAGGAAGAGGCCUGCUCCAAACCACAAGUUUUGAUCUCUUAGGUUCUAUCCGGUGAGAGCAGAGAAGGGGUCUGUGGCAGACAUAGUACAGGAUUAAAUUUCCCAUGGGACAGAGAAAGUUCCAGGUAGAAAUGAGGUCUGGGUGAACAGAGGACUUGGCGUUAUACACCUGAGUUUGUGUGACCAUGAACUUUGCAUUUCUGUUGCCUCCCCCAGAAAAUGUGUGCCUCAGACAGGAAUCUUGUGCACAUUCCUCGUUGGCGAGGCAUAGUGCUUUGUCUGCUGAGCCCCACUUCUGCUCCAACAGCUGGAGAGGACUCCUUUCUCCCGCUACAAGUACUCCUCCAGGGAUAGGUACAGGAGUGUAGAGGGGUGAAAAGCGUUGUCUGUGUGGAAAUUCUGGAUCCUCCAGAGGCCUGUGAGAAGAAAUGCUCUUCUUCUUGCCACCUUUUGUACUUUGAUGCAGUUAUAGGAGAGAAUCAUUAUGUGAGGAGGUUAAAAAAAAAUUGACAAACUGGAGAUGUCAGAGUGGAAGGAAGGGGAAAAGAGGUUCUUGAUGGAACUGAUUUGGCAAACUGACUCUGGGACUGUCUGUCUUAGACAAAUCACAGAUCUUUAUGGUUUGAACCACCUUUAGUAAAGUAUUUUAUUAUGUAUGGUUGGAACACAUUCCUACUGAAACCGCAUCUGGGGGAUUUGACAGUUGUCCCCCGGUCAUCAGUGGUGUUUGAAAAAGAGAGAAGUUGUGGAGAUGCAAGUCUGAUGCAAGAUUAAGAAGUAAAUGGGAAAAUUCUGUUUCUGGCAAUAUGGAGGACCAAAUAUGGAGGACCAAAUAGUCACAGAGAAAUUCUGGAAAAAUGUAACAACAUUCUUGUAAGUGCAUAACUGAGCUCAUUUAGAAAGAAGAAAAAACCGUCAGAGCUAAUCUACCUUGGGGACUGCCGUGGCUAGGAACAUGGUAGCCUUGGUAGAAUGGGCUGUAACUCCAACCAGAUAUAAAACUUAAAUAAAGUCUUGUAUUGA
Long non-coding RNA from Marmota monax (woodchuck), 2752 nucleotides. RefSeq lists it as uncharacterized. The transcript is spliced from 2 exons. Lineage: Eukaryota; Metazoa; Chordata; Mammalia; Rodentia; Sciuridae. The record is from RefSeq and is a predicted model, not a curated record.